CCCAGCUACAGACAACUGCCUAGGUUACAUUGUACCUAGGCAAGUGUUACACUGCAGGGAGAAAAGCAGCUAAUAGCUGGUGGGCAUCCUGGGCCUAGUUAAUGCCGAAUUUGUGUUAACUAUACCAGUGUGCCAACAUA
Molecule: small nucleolar RNA, 140 nt
Organism: Ochotona princeps (American pika)
Lineage: Eukaryota; Metazoa; Chordata; Mammalia; Lagomorpha; Ochotonidae
Gene: SNORA74
Rfam family: Small nucleolar RNA SNORA74
About the family: U19 belongs to the H/ACA class of snoRNAs. snoRNAs bind a number of proteins (including dyskerin, Gar1p and Nop10p in the case of the H/ACA class) to form snoRNP complexes.
Source: Ensembl